Molecule: ribosomal RNA, 254 nt
Filed under: uncultured bacterium
Lineage: Bacteria
Description: partial 16S ribosomal RNA
Rfam family: Bacterial small subunit ribosomal RNA
Source: RNAcentral
GACGUAGGAGGCGAGCGUUGUCCGGAGUUACUGGGCGUAAAGGGCGCGUAGGCGGCCACCGCAAGUCGACUGUGAAAUCUCCGGGCUUAACCCGGAAAGGUCAGCCGAUACUGCGGGGCUAGAGUGCAGAAGGGGCAACUGGAAUUCUCGGUGUAGCGGUGAAAUGCGUAGAUAUCGAGAGGAACACCUGCGGCGAAGGCGGGUUGCUGGGCUGACACUGACGCUGAUGUGCGAAAGCUAGGGGAGCGAACGGG